RNAcentral lists this transfer RNA (78 nucleotides) under Salmonella phage Mushroom. RNAcentral describes it as "tRNA-Asp". RNAcentral also lists the same sequence under 3 other names. Lineage: Duplodnaviria; Heunggongvirae; Uroviricota; Caudoviricetes; Andersonviridae. The record is from RNAcentral.
UGGCGGUUACGAAGGGAUUUGAACCCUCAUCAUCUCCCGUGACAGGGGAGUAUUUUAACCAAAUUAAACUACAUAACC